GCCAGGUGUGGUGGUGCAUGCCUGUAGUCCCAGCUACUUGGGAGGCUGAGGCAGGAGAAUCGCUUGAACCCAGGAGGCGGAGGUUGCAGUGAGCCAAGAUCGCACCAUUGCACUCCAGCCUGGGUGACAGAGCGAGACUCUGUCUCAA
Non-coding RNA from Homo sapiens (human), 148 nucleotides. It matches the Rfam family "Metazoan signal recognition particle RNA". Rfam says of the family: The signal recognition particle (SRP) is a universally conserved ribonucleoprotein. It is involved in the co-translational targeting of proteins to membranes. The record is from Rfam. Lineage: Eukaryota; Metazoa; Chordata; Mammalia; Primates; Hominidae.